RNAcentral lists this long non-coding RNA (1321 nucleotides) under Homo sapiens (human). RNAcentral's name for it is "HSALNT0401221". Lineage: Eukaryota; Metazoa; Chordata; Mammalia; Primates; Hominidae. The record is from RNAcentral.
CUCCAGGCCCCACCAGAGUUGGGACUAAAUGAGGGCUCAAAGCCAGAUAUUUCAGAAUCGUGCUGUUGUCUUGCUGGCAAAUUCUGUCUGAGUUCUGGGAAGCAGGGCUUAUCCUUGAGGGCACACCGCCCCCUGCUGGCCAAGAUGGGUUUUUCCUCCCCAGCUUAGACCAGGAGAGGAGGCAGGACGGCUGGCGACUGAGGGGGGCUGCCUCUGGAGUCUGGGUUUGAUCUCACGUAUACCAUUGACUCCUAUGUGACCUCAGAACUCUUGAUGGCCUGCUUCCCAUCCUCCAUCCUGGAAGACUGAUCUGAAACCCCAGGAGGAGGUCCUCUGAGCCCUGAGGCAGAGAUCUCUCACCUGGAAGAUGGGUCUAAUGACUGCGCCCCACACACACCAGAGAGGACUGCAGAUAGUGCGGGAUGAGAGGAAGAUCUCUGGCCCUGGAGACAGCAUCAUCAAGCGAAAACGUAUGAGGAAGAAAAUAGCAGAUGAGAAGAAUCAACCAAAUUCCGGAAGCUGGAAGGCAGAUGCAAGAAGGCCCUUGAAUGAUGCCAGCACCUUGAUAUUGGACUUUCCAGCCUCCAGAACCAUGAGCCAAUACAUUUCUGUUCCAUAAAAAUUACCCAGUUCCAGGUAUUCUGCUAUAGCAGCACAAAAUGGACUAAAACAAUGUUGGCACAAGACUCAGUGCUGGGCCUGGCAUGCAACAGGUCCUUGGAGUGGCGUGCUGUGUGGAUAAUGAAUAUUGGGGAAGGCAUCUCUCUCCAGCCCCUCUCAAGCUUUCUGUAGUCACUGGUCCACUCUGUAUUGCUAUGAAGAAGCUCAAGACCAGCCUGUAUCACUCGGGGUCCUGGCAGGAACCAGGUGCCACACUCAAACUGAGUAAUUGAAGAGGGUUUAAUAUGGGAGUUAUUUACAUAGGUGUGGGCUGGUGUAGCUGCCCAUAUGCCCUCAAAAUCACCUCUACAUGGCAAUAGCUACUUACUGCUAACAGAGUCUCUCUCUCAUUGCUGCAAAUAUUUUCUAGCCAUGCAAGAAACUCAGCCGGUCAUGUUGAACAAACUAAGAGUGCCAGGAAGUUAAUGUCCUGGAAGCAUUGCCAGAGGGGAGGGGGCAGUUAGAUUCCCCAGCUUCCUCGCUCCUCUGCUGGGUUAAGCCUGCAACAUAUUCAUCAUCUCCCAGAGUGCUGCCCAGGGAUAGAGCUCCAGGUGCUCAGUGUGGUGACCUGCUCAUGUCAGCUUCUUCCCCUUUCCUGUCUUGUUUCGCACCCACAUCCUUCCCAUGUUUCCUCUUCCCAAAUAAACUACUUGCAUUGAAA